AUUGAACGCUGGCGGCAGGCCUAACACAUGCAAGUCGAACGGUAACAGGAAACAGCUUGCUGUUUCGCUGACGAGUGGCAGACGGGUGAGUAAUGUCUGGGAAACUGCCUGAUGGAGGGGGAUAACUACUGGAAACGGUAGCUAAUACCGCAUAACGUCGCAAGACCAAAGAGGUGGACCUUCGGGCCUCUUGCCAUCGGAUGUGCCCAGAUGGGAUUAGCUAGUAGGUGGGGUAACGGCUCACCUAGGCGACGAUCCCUAGCUGGUCUGAGAGGAUGACCAGCCACACUGGAACUGAGACACGGUCCAGACUCCUACGGGAGGCAGCAGUGGGGAAUAUUGCACAAUGGGCGCAAGCCUGAUGCAGCCAUGCCGCGUGUAUGAAGAAGGCCUUCGGGUUGUAAAGUACUUUCAGCGGGGAGGAAGGGAGUAAAGUUAAUACCUUUGCUCAUUGACGUUACCCGCAGAAGAAGCACCGGCUAACUCCGUGCCAGCCGCCGCAGUAA
RNAcentral lists this ribosomal RNA (506 nucleotides) under uncultured bacterium. RNAcentral's name for it is "partial 16S ribosomal RNA". It matches the Rfam family "Bacterial small subunit ribosomal RNA", at positions 30 to 523 of the family's 1533-position model. The record is from RNAcentral.